GACGGACCCGCGAGCUGACCCGGUUCCCCAGCCUCCUUUCUCCUUCGCUCGCUCGCGGCGCUGGUGAGGGGGAGAAGCGUCACUGGCGACGACAGCAGCGACGGCGGCCACAACGGCGGCGACGACGGGCUAGACGGCGGCCACAAAGGCGACGACGACACGAUCGACGGCGGCGACAAAACGGUUCCGGCGAGGAUGAGUGAGGAUGGGUCUGUGCCGGUGUGGCCAGCGGCGGCACGGUUUGAGAGGGGGGCUGUGACUGCGACUACGCGACCGGAGGCGACGGAUACCUGGUGGUGGCUGACAAAGGGCUGCAGUUACGGGCGGCGGAUUGGCGACGGCGUCCCUGCAAUUUCCAGAUCUGGUGCAACCUUGGCGGGUCAGUCGCGGCACGUCGUCAAGGCAGGGGACAGCAGCAGUAGCAGAGCCGCGGUUGCAACGGUGGCGCAGAGCCUCCUGCUUCACAGAUCUGGCGUUCCCUCCUCCGGCUCCCCUCACUCAGGCCAGAUCCGAGCCUCCACCGGCCGGAUCUGACCCUCUCGAAGUUGUUCGCCGCCGGCCUUCCCCGAAGUCUCUCGGUGGAGGGUGGGCUGAGCUCACAACUCGAGCUCUCUCUCGCUCGCUCGU
This 627-nucleotide long non-coding RNA is filed under the name Eucalyptus grandis. RNAcentral describes it as "long non-coding RNA (EGRA_LNC007755)". Lineage: Eukaryota; Viridiplantae; Streptophyta; Magnoliopsida; Myrtales; Myrtaceae. The record is from RNAcentral.